This 253-nucleotide ribosomal RNA is filed under the name uncultured bacterium. RNAcentral describes it as "partial 16S ribosomal RNA". It matches the Rfam family "Bacterial small subunit ribosomal RNA", at positions 524 to 776 of the family's 1533-position model. The record is from RNAcentral.
UACGUAGGGUGCAAGCGUUGUCCGGAAUUAUUGGGCGUAAAGAGCUUGUAGGCGGUUUGUCGCGUCUGCUGUGAAAAUCCGGGGCUCAACCCCGGACUUGCAGUGGGUACGGGCAGACUAGAGUGUGGUAGGGGAGACUGGAAUUCCUGGUGUAGCGGUGGAAUGCGCAGAUAUCAGGAGGAACACCGAUGGCGAAGGCAGGUCUCUGGGCCACUACUGACGCUGAGAAGCGAAAGCAUGGGGAGCGAACAGG